This 468-nucleotide ribosomal RNA is filed under the name uncultured bacterium. RNAcentral's name for it is "partial 16S ribosomal RNA". It matches the Rfam family "Bacterial small subunit ribosomal RNA", at positions 28 to 507 of the family's 1533-position model. The record is from RNAcentral.
GACGAACGCUGGCGGCGUGCUUAACACAUGCAAGUCGAACGGAAAGGCCCUGCUUUUGUGGGGUGCUCGAGUGGCGAACGGGUGAGUAACACGUGAGUAACCUGCCCUUGACUUUGGGAUAACUUCAGGAAACUGGGGCUAAUACCGGAUAGGAGCUCCUGCUGCAUGGUGGGGGUUGGAAAGUUUCGGCGGUUGGGGAUGGACUCGCGGCUUAUCAGCUUGUUGGUGGGGUAGUGGCUUACCAAGGCUUUGACGGGUAGCCGGCCUGAGAGGGUGAACGGCCACAUUGGGACUGAGAUAAGGCCCAGACUCCUACGGGAGGCAGCAGUGGGGAAUAUUGCACAAUGGGCGGAAGGCUGAUGCAGCAACGCCGCGUGCGGGAUGACGGCCUUCGGGUUGUAAACCGCUUUCGACUGUGACGAAGCGUGAGUGACGGUAAUGGGUAAAGAAGCACCGGCUAACUACGUG